This 234-nucleotide long non-coding RNA is filed under the name Physcomitrium patens. RNAcentral's name for it is "long non-coding RNA (PPAT_LNC008817)". Lineage: Eukaryota; Viridiplantae; Streptophyta; Bryopsida; Funariales; Funariaceae. The record is from RNAcentral.
UAAAUAGAUCCUAAGUACAUUCUAGAUAAAUCCUAAUCAAACCUUAAUAUAGUCCUAAUGAAAUCCUAAAAAAAUAUUUACAAAAUCCUAAAUAAAUCUUAAUUAAAUCCUAACCAAAAUCCUAAUUAAUUUUAAAUCAAUCAUAACCAAAAUCUAACCAAAUUCUAAUCAAAUUGCAACCAAAUCCUAAUUAAAUCCUAAUAAAAUCUUAAUCAAAUUCUAGUCAAAUUCUAA